GACGAACGCUGGCGGCGUGCUUAACACAUGCAAGUCGAACGGAAAGGCCCUGCUUGCAGGGUACUCGAGUGGCGAACGGGUGAGUAACACGUGGGUGAUCUGCCCUGCACUUCGGGAUAA
RNAcentral lists this ribosomal RNA (120 nucleotides) under uncultured bacterium. RNAcentral's name for it is "partial 16S ribosomal RNA". It matches the Rfam family "Bacterial small subunit ribosomal RNA", at positions 28 to 146 of the family's 1533-position model. The record is from RNAcentral.